Molecule: ribosomal RNA, 279 nt
Filed under: uncultured bacterium
Lineage: Bacteria
Description: partial 16S ribosomal RNA
Rfam family: Bacterial small subunit ribosomal RNA
Source: RNAcentral
UGCCAGCCGCCGCGGUAAUACGUAGGUGGCGAGCGUUAAUCGGAAUCACUGGGCGUAAAGCGUACGUAGGUGGCAAGGUCAGUCAGGCGUGAAAGCCCUCGGCUCAACCGAGGAAUUGCGUUUGAUACUGCUUUGCUAGAGUCUCGGAGAGGUUGGCGGAAUUCCAGGUGUAGGAGUGAAAUCCGUAGAUAUCUGGAGGAACACCAGUGGCGAAGGCGGCCAACUGGACGAGUACUGACACUGAGGUACGGAAGCUAGGGUAGCGAACGGGAUUAGAUA